Molecule: long non-coding RNA, 203 nt
Filed under: Mytilus galloprovincialis (Mediterranean mussel)
Lineage: Eukaryota; Metazoa; Mollusca; Bivalvia; Mytilida; Mytilidae
Source: RNAcentral
UGAGGGGGGAUAGGAGGGGUCCUGAUCCCAAAAUCCCGGGCUUAAAAACACGAGAUCCCGAAAUCCCGGGCUUAAAAAACAUGAAAUCCCGAGGUCCCGAAAUUUGAAAAAAGAAUUCCCGGAUCCCAAAAGGGUCAAUCCCGAAAUCCCGAGCUUAAAAACACCCGAUCCCGGAGUCCCGAUAAAGGUCCUAUCCCCCCUCA